RNAcentral lists this long non-coding RNA (203 nucleotides) under Brassica napus (rape). RNAcentral describes it as "long non-coding RNA (BNAP_LNC014592)". The record is from RNAcentral. Lineage: Eukaryota; Viridiplantae; Streptophyta; Magnoliopsida; Brassicales; Brassicaceae.
CUGAUAUGAAGGUUGGUGCACAUUCAAGACGCUUAGAAGCUGAGAGACUUGUUCUGACGUAACUGAUCCAAGACAAACCCCUUGUUGAUUAUGCAUGGAGAUACCACCAUUAUCUUGUACAACCAUAUUGGCAACAUUCUCUUUGCGAGGAGGCCACUGUUGAGUAGACUUGUUAGAGUCUGUAGAGGGAGUAGCUGACAGUG